UACAGAGGUCCCAAGCGUUGUUCGGAAUCACUGGGCGUAAAGGGCGCGUAGGCGGCCAUAUAAGUCGGGGGGUGAAAGCCUGUGGCUCAACCACAGAAUUGCCUUCGAUACUGUAUGGCUCGAGACCGGAAGAGGUAAGUGGAACUGCGAGUGUAGAGGUGAAAUUCGUAGAUAUUCGCAAGAACACCAGUGGCGAAGGCGGACUUACUGGUCCGGUUCUGGACGCUGAGGCGCGAAAGCGUGGGGAGCAAACAGG
This 256-nucleotide ribosomal RNA is filed under the name uncultured bacterium. RNAcentral describes it as "partial 16S ribosomal RNA". It matches the Rfam family "Bacterial small subunit ribosomal RNA", at positions 524 to 776 of the family's 1533-position model. The record is from RNAcentral.